GUGAACGCCAAUGAACAACGUUCGAUGACCUUCUAGAUCUUCCUUUUCAAAAUGAGUUUUGAGAAUGGAGCGAGUUCCACCUCUAUCCACAACAGCUUCCUCAUCAUUUCUCGUGGGCAGCAGCGGCUCCAUCUGCGCCCCCUGGUCCUGGGUCUCCAUGCGGCGGCGGCGGGGCCGCGGCAGCGCCCUCCCCGCCGCCCGCCCGCCCGCCGGCCGGCGCGGAGCCGAGCGCUGCGCUCCCCGGGCACUGUGGGAGCCGCCGGGCUGCGCUGGGCUCCGCGAUCCGCCGCGCUCCGCCGCGGAUCAGGUGGC
Molecule: long non-coding RNA, 312 nt
Filed under: Gallus gallus (chicken)
Lineage: Eukaryota; Metazoa; Chordata; Aves; Galliformes; Phasianidae
Source: RNAcentral